This 253-nucleotide ribosomal RNA is filed under the name uncultured bacterium. RNAcentral describes it as "partial 16S ribosomal RNA". It matches the Rfam family "Bacterial small subunit ribosomal RNA", at positions 524 to 776 of the family's 1533-position model. The record is from RNAcentral.
UACAGAGGGUGCGAGCGUUAAUCGGAAUUACUGGGCGUAAAGCGUGCGUAGACGGUUAUUUAAGUCGGGUGUGAAAGCCCCGGGCUCAACCUGGGAAUUGCAUUCGAGACUGAAUAGCUAGGGUACGGUAGAGGGAAGUGGAAUUUCCGGUGUAGCGGUGAAAUGCGUAGAUAUCAGGAGGAACACCUGCGGUGUAGACGGCUUUCUGGACCAUUGUUGACGCUGAGACACGAAAGCGUGGGUAGCAAACAGG